GUAACCUACCCAUCAGAGGGGAUAACACUUGGAAACAGGUGCUAAUACCGCAUAACAGUUUAUGCCGCAUGGCAUAAGAGUGAAAGGCGCUUUCGGGUGUCGCUGAUGGAUGGACCCGCGGUGCAUUAGCUAGUUGGUAAGGUAACGGCUUACCAAGGCAACGAUACGUAGCCGACCUGAGAGGGUGAUCGGCCACACUGGAACUGAGACACGGUCCAG
This 219-nucleotide ribosomal RNA is filed under the name uncultured Enterococcaceae bacterium. RNAcentral describes it as "partial 16S ribosomal RNA". It matches the Rfam family "Bacterial small subunit ribosomal RNA", at positions 121 to 334 of the family's 1533-position model. The record is from RNAcentral. Lineage: Bacteria; Bacillati; Bacillota; Bacilli; Lactobacillales; Enterococcaceae.